RNAcentral lists this ribosomal RNA (253 nucleotides) under uncultured bacterium. RNAcentral's name for it is "partial 16S ribosomal RNA". It matches the Rfam family "Bacterial small subunit ribosomal RNA", at positions 524 to 776 of the family's 1533-position model. The record is from RNAcentral.
GACGUAGGGCGCGAGCGUUGUCCGGAUUUAUUGGGCGUAAAGAGCUCGUAGGCGGCUUGCCACGUCUGCCGUGAAAACCAGGAGCUUAACUGUUGGCUUGCGGUUGAUACGGGUUGGCUGGAGUUCGGUAGGGGAGACUGGAAUUCCUGGUGUAGCGGUGAAAUGCGCAGAUAUCAGGAGGAACACCGGUGGCGAAGGCAGCCUUCUGGGCCAACACUGACGCUCAUGCACGAAAGCGUGGGGAGCAAACAGG